UCUCUCUCACUCAGACGCCUAGUGACAGACGCACUCUCUCUCUCUCACUCAGACACCUAGUGACAGACGCACUCUCUCUCUCUCACUCAGACACCUAGUGACAGACGCACUCACAGACACACACACUGACAGACAUAGUCACUCACAGACACACACACAUAGUGCCAGCCAGCCAGACACACACACAUUCCCCCUUGCCCCCCCUCCCC
This is a non-coding RNA of Pelobates cultripes (western spadefoot toad), 209 nucleotides long. NCBI's taxonomy places the organism in Eukaryota, Metazoa, Chordata, Amphibia, Anura, Pelobatidae. The record is from the annotation of a GenBank genome assembly.